This is a long non-coding RNA of Xiphophorus hellerii (green swordtail), 1034 nucleotides long. RefSeq lists it as uncharacterized. Lineage: Eukaryota; Metazoa; Chordata; Actinopteri; Cyprinodontiformes; Poeciliidae. The record is from RefSeq and is a predicted model, not a curated record. The transcript has 6 exons.
AUGUACCAUAGCUGUUGUUGCACUUGUGGGAUGUACUUUAACCACUUUUUAAAAUAUAUACACAGGGCAGGAAAAUAAAAAGCUGAAGCAGAGAAGCAGUGGACCGUCUGGUCGGUAGGAUGCUGCAGAUCUGACCUCUGACCCUCUGAUCUGAAGAGCCGCUCUGAGGAAAUCUAUGCAGGACACAUCUACUGCAGAAAUCCUGUCUGAUGUCUGAGGCCGACUCGGAGUCAGCGGCGCUGCUGAGUGAAAGGUGCUGAAAAGAAGAUGAACACUGACUGGUUUUAAGGAGGAGGAGGAGGAGGAGAAAGAGAAGGAGGAGGACAAAGAGAAGGAGGAGGAAAAGGAGAAGGACAAAGAGGAGGAGGAGAAAGCGGCGGAGGCAGGCGGCUACUGAAGGAACCAGUCGGCUCACGCUGACGCCGUCCUGGUUGCUUUCCUUCCGCAGGCCAGAGGUUUGAAUCGGAGCGCUGCAGGUUAACAGGAGGAUCUGCCACAGCCUGAGUGAACCGGAGGGAGCGAGCAGAGGGAGGGCGAUUACUGGGACACAGAAACGAGUCACCAACAGAUGCCGAGCACAACAAGAAGGAUUUAAAGAAAUUCUCCUUCAGAGGGACGACAGAGAGGAAGAAGUGAGUCGAAGAAUCGAUGCUGUGAUUCGUCUGUCUGGAAACCGGGUCAGAUUAUCCAACAUUCAGGAAAAUAAAACCCAGAUGAUGAUGCAGGUGCAGCUCUGAGUCUGACCUCAUGUUGGCCUCAGUUUGUGAAGAAAAUCCCUGCAGGAGGUUUUCCUCGCUGCUGCGCUGCCUGUUUGCAGCUUCUGCUGAAAACACUAAAUUAUAAUCCGUUCAUCUGGUUAUUAAUACAUAAACUGAGAAAAUGAUUUAGUAAAACACUCUUUCUUCUGAAACACUUGGAAAAAUGAUCAAAUAAAAUAACCCAAUAGAUAAAAGAUUGUUUUAUGUUUACAGAUCCUAACGUUGUAGCAAACCUCUUUACUCUCAUACCUCUAAAUAAAAUCCAGUCCAACAAAA